ACUGCUCAUUAACACGUGAUCAACUUACCCUAUAGAGGAAAAUAACCUCGGGAAACUGAGGAUAAUGUUCCAUAGUUGAAUCGGCUUGGAAGAGUUUUUCAAUAAAAGGGAUAAGGAAAAUGGUUCUUAUCUGCUAUAGGAUAGGAUCGUGCUCGAUUAUGGUUGUUGGUGAGGUAAAGGCUCACCAAGCCGAUAAUCGAUAGGGGCCGUGAGAGCGGGAGCCCCGAGAUGGGUACUGAGACAACGACCCAGGCCUUACGAGGCGCAGCAGGCGCGAAACCUCCGCAAUACACGAAAGUGUGACGGGGUUACCCAAAGUGUUCUAUUUAGAACUGUGGUAGGUGAGUAAUGUCCCCUACUAGAAAGGAGAGGGCAAGGCUGGUGCCAGCCGCCGCGGUAAAACCAGCUCUUCAAGUGGUCGGGAUAAUUAUUGGGCUUAAAGUGUCCGUAGCCGGUUUAGUAAGUUCCUGGUAAAAUCGGGUAGCUUAACUAUCUAUAUGCUAGGAAUACUGCUAUACUAGAGGGCGGGAGAGGUCUGAGGUACUACAGGGGUAGGGGUGAAAUCUUAUAAUCCUUGUAGGACCACCAGUGGCGAAGGCGUCAGACUGGAACGCGCCUGACGGUGAGGGACGAAAGCCAGGGGAGCGAACCGGAUUAGAUACCCGGGUAGUCCUGGCCGUAAACGAUGCAUACUAGGUGAUGGCACGGCCAUGAGCCGUGUCAGUGCCGUAGGGAAACCGUUAAGUGUGCCGCCUGGGAAGUACGGUCGCAAGGCUAAAACUUAAAGGAAUUGGCGGGGGAGCACCACAAGGGGUGAAGCCUGCGGUUCAAUU
Molecule: ribosomal RNA, 833 nt
Filed under: uncultured archaeon
Lineage: Archaea
Description: bacterial SSU rRNA
Rfam family: Archaeal small subunit ribosomal RNA
Source: RNAcentral